CAUGCAAGUCGAGCGAACAGAUAAGGAGCUUGCUCCUUUGACGUUAGCGGCGGACGGGUGAGUAACACGUGGGUAACCUACCUAUAAGACUGGAAUAACUCCGGGAAACCGGGGCUAAUGCCGGAUAACAUUUAGAACCGCAUGGUUCUAAAGUGAAAGAUGGUUUUGCUAUCACUUAUAGAUGGACCCGCGCCGUAUUAGCUAGUUGGUAAGGUAACGGCUUACCAAGGCAACGAUACGUAGCCGACCUGAGAGGGUGAUCGGCCACACUGGAACUGAGACACGGUCCAGACUCCUACGGGAGGCAGCAGUAGGGAAUCUUCCGCAAUGGGCGAAAGCCUGACGGAGCAACGCCGCGUGAGUGAUGAAGGUCUUCGGAUCGUAAAACUCUGUUAUUAGGGAAGAACAAAUGUGUAAGUAACUAUGCACGUCUUGACGGUACCUAAUCAGAAAGCCACGGCUAA
Molecule: ribosomal RNA, 464 nt
Filed under: Staphylococcus cohnii subsp. cohnii
Lineage: Bacteria; Bacillati; Bacillota; Bacilli; Caryophanales; Staphylococcaceae
Description: bacterial SSU rRNA
Rfam family: Bacterial small subunit ribosomal RNA
Source: RNAcentral